GAUCAAAGUGUAGUAUCUGUUCUUAUCAGCUUAAUAUCUGAUACGACUCCCAACGGGGGUCAAGAUAUUAAUCUUAUUUUUGUUUAAAGACGGAGAGCUUGAAGCUUGCUUCACCUCCGUCACGGGUUGGC
Molecule: small nuclear RNA, 131 nt
Filed under: Tithaeus kokutnus
Lineage: Eukaryota; Metazoa; Arthropoda; Arachnida; Opiliones; Tithaeidae
Description: partial U2 snRNA
Rfam family: U2 spliceosomal RNA
About the family: U2 is a small nuclear RNA (snRNA) component of the spliceosome (involved in pre-mRNA splicing).
Source: RNAcentral